UACGUAGGUGGCAAGCGUUGUUCGGAAUCAUUGGGCGUAAAGCGCACGUAGGCGGCUCCAAAAGUCGGAUGUGAAAUCCCUGGGCUCAACCGAGGAAGUGCAUCCGAAACUGCGGAGCUUGAGUAUGGAAGAGGGUCGCGGAAUUCCCGGUGUAGAGGUGAAAUUCGUAGAUAUCGGGAGGAACACCAGUGGCGAAGGCGGCGACCUGGGCCAAUACUGACGCUGAGGUGCGAAAGCGUGGGGAGCAAACAGG
RNAcentral lists this ribosomal RNA (253 nucleotides) under uncultured bacterium. Its description in RNAcentral is "partial 16S ribosomal RNA". It matches the Rfam family "Bacterial small subunit ribosomal RNA", at positions 524 to 776 of the family's 1533-position model. The record is from RNAcentral.